GAGAAAUUCACCAAAUUUCAAGGAAUCAAGCCAUUAAAGGUGGUGAGUAUUCUGGCAAGAGUAAAGAGGUAGUAUCCGAGGAUCAAGAAUCAAAGUAUCCCGAAUUCGAUUCUCAUUACAGCUCAAGAUAGUUGGUAGAUAGCUCAUUUCGUUAAGGGCUACAGUUAGACUUGCAUCUUCAAAAACUGUAGGUUCACAGCCUUCAUUACUUUUAGUCAUUCGGGGGCCCACAUGUCAUUGUUAAAUUUUUUGAA
Molecule: non-coding RNA, 254 nt
Organism: Theobroma cacao (cacao)
Lineage: Eukaryota; Viridiplantae; Streptophyta; Magnoliopsida; Malvales; Malvaceae
Source: RefSeq, a predicted model, not a curated record